GCGCGGGUAGCUCAGUGGUAGAGCGUUCGAUUGCAGCUCGAAGGGUCACUGGUCAAUCCCGGUCCCGCGCU
RNAcentral lists this transfer RNA (71 nucleotides) under Phytophthora infestans (potato late blight agent). Its description in RNAcentral is "tRNA-Cys". It matches the Rfam family "tRNA". Rfam says of the family: Transfer RNA (tRNA) molecules are approximately 80 nucleotides in length. The record is from RNAcentral. Lineage: Eukaryota; Oomycota; Peronosporomycetes; Peronosporales; Peronosporaceae.